Long non-coding RNA from Helianthus annuus (common sunflower), 651 nucleotides. RefSeq lists it as uncharacterized. The record is from RefSeq and is a predicted model, not a curated record. Lineage: Eukaryota; Viridiplantae; Streptophyta; Magnoliopsida; Asterales; Asteraceae. The transcript has 3 exons.
ACACUCACGCACAUGAGAGAAAGCCAUCCCUCUGCAUCACACCUCUAUCGGCGUCACCGCCGCCGCCGCCGCCGCCGCCACCGCCACCGCUGCCAUAUCUCCUGCAUCAACGAUACUUAGUAGGUGAUGAAGGUUCCAUAGAUGAUUAACGACAGUCAUGAUAGAGGGUUUUAAGGGAGAGUGGGUCGAUGCCUUAGGAUGGUUGAAUUGUCACAAAUCUGAAAACACGUGUGUGGUUAAAUGACUGAUGGUUGUGGAUAUGGUUCAACAGAUCGGCGUUGCUAGGGUUCCGACGAGAUUUUAGCAAGAUUCUGGUGACCCGGUUCAGGACUUAAAAGCUGGACUCGCACCUCUUCGUCUCGCCAAAGUCGCAGGCAAUGCUCCCAGCAAGUCAAAAUGAUGACUUGGUUGGGAGCAGCAUCAAACAAAACUAACAAUAGAAGGAACAAUGAUCUUAUAACAAUAAAAAUCAACACUCAUGAAAAAGGAAAUGACCAAGGAGAUGCUGCUUUGGUUUAUGUGGAAGUUCAAACGGAUCACAAAAAGGUAGGAAAAACCCAAGUUUCGCUUCAAAUUAUGUGUGGGGUUGGUUAACUUUUGUCAUUAAGUAUAUUGGUUAUCUAAAGAAUUGUACAAUAAUAGACUUAUUGG